UUGGAAGUCAGGAUUUUAAGGUACUAACUUAAUACCUGAAGAUUCUGCCAACCAAAGGGCACCAUUCACAUCUUUGAAAGAGAAAUCCUAUUACUGGAGAAAUAGACCCACCAGAUAAAGUUUGAGAGAUCCAACAUACACGCAAGGAUGAUAGAGGAGAAUUGGUGUGAGUGGAUCCACAAUCCCAACAAAUUCAUGGUCAACUCCAAGAAGUUGUCACUCAGCAACAAUCUGAAGAGAUCGAGCAUCCUAUGACUAGAGAUGAGAUUUUAUCCACUGUUCUUGGUGAGAGAACAGGUUAUGUUCGCGGAAAAGGAUACGGAAAGAAGCCUCCUAAAAAGAGUAAUAUGCAGCAGGCAAGCAUAGAGUCCAGCGUGUCUUUCGCUAUGGAAAUUAUGCAUCAAAAGAUGCAAGCCGAUAUGGAUAGAAAGUUGCAAGAAUAACGUGAACAAAUGGUUGCUCAGUUGCAAAGAAAUAUGGAACUUGAGUUGCAAAGGAAGUUGGCAGAGGAGCGUGAACAGUCAAGUGUAGAAAUAGACAAGAGGAUCCAUCUAGAAGUGGACAAGAGGAUGCAUGAACAAUUUGCUAGUUUGAUGACCAGAAUGCUACAACAGCAGGGACAAUGCACUUAAACAAUGGUAUCGUGCAAGGAUGGUGUCGACCAAGGAGCAGUUACAAGACACUUAAUAUUUUGUCUUUUUUGAGAUAUGUAUAUGCGUACAAUUAUAUUA
This is a non-coding RNA of Nicotiana tabacum (common tobacco), 731 nucleotides long. The record is from RefSeq and is a predicted model, not a curated record. Lineage: Eukaryota; Viridiplantae; Streptophyta; Magnoliopsida; Solanales; Solanaceae.